Molecule: ribosomal RNA, 77 nt
Filed under: Fidelibacterota bacterium
Lineage: Bacteria; Pseudomonadati; Fidelibacterota
Description: partial 16S ribosomal RNA
Rfam family: Bacterial small subunit ribosomal RNA
Source: RNAcentral
CAAUGGAGAGUUUGAUCCUGGCUCAGGACGAACGCUGGCGGCGUGCUUAACACAUGCAAGUCUAAGGAGAACGAAUU